CCCUGCCUUUUGUACACACCGCCCGUCGCUCCUACCGAUUGAAUGAUGAGGUGAGGUUUUUGGACUGGCGCGAUUUCAGAGCCUUGUGUUUUGUUUCGUGCCGGAAAGAUACCCUAACCUUAUCAUUUAGAGGAAGGAGAAGUCGUAACA
Molecule: ribosomal RNA, 150 nt
Filed under: uncultured eukaryote
Lineage: Eukaryota
Description: partial small subunit ribosomal RNA
Rfam family: Eukaryotic small subunit ribosomal RNA
Source: RNAcentral